This 252-nucleotide ribosomal RNA is filed under the name uncultured bacterium. Its description in RNAcentral is "partial 16S ribosomal RNA". It matches the Rfam family "Bacterial small subunit ribosomal RNA", at positions 524 to 776 of the family's 1533-position model. The record is from RNAcentral.
UACGUAGGUCCCGAGCGUUAUCCGGAUUUAUUGGGCGUAAAGCGAGCGCAGGCGGUUAGAUAAGUCUGAAGUGAAAGGCUGUGGCUUAACCAUAGUAUGGUUUGGAAACUGUUUAACUUGAGUUCAGAAGGGGAGAGUGGAAUUCCAUGUGUAGCGGUGAAAUGCGUAGAUAUAUGGAGGAACACCGGUGGCGAAAGCGGCUCCCUGGACGGUAACUGACGCUGAGGCUCGAAAGCGUGGGGAGCAAACAGG